This 72-nucleotide transfer RNA is filed under the name Caerostris extrusa. RNAcentral's name for it is "tRNA-Val". It matches the Rfam family "tRNA". Rfam says of the family: Transfer RNA (tRNA) molecules are approximately 80 nucleotides in length. Lineage: Eukaryota; Metazoa; Arthropoda; Arachnida; Araneae; Araneidae. The record is from RNAcentral.
GGUUCCGUAGUGUAGUGGUUAUCACGUUCGCUUUACGCGCGAAAGGUCCCAGUUCGAUCCCGGGCGGAACCA